Molecule: ribosomal RNA, 304 nt
Filed under: uncultured bacterium
Lineage: Bacteria
Description: partial 16S ribosomal RNA
Rfam family: Bacterial small subunit ribosomal RNA
Source: RNAcentral
CAGCAGCCGCCACGGGAAUACAGAGGGUGCAAGCGUUAAUCGGAAUUACUGGGCGUAAAGCGCGCGUAGGUGGUUUGUUAAGUUGGAUGUGAAAUCCCCGGGCUCAACCUGGGAACUGCAUCCAAAACUGGCAAGCUAGAGUAUGGUAGAGGGUGGUGGAAUUUCCUGUGUAGCGGUGAAAUGCGUAGAUAUAGGAAGGAACACCAGUGGCGAAGGCGACCACCUGGACUGAUACUGACACUGAGGUGCGAAAGCGUGGGGAGAAAACAGGAUUAGAUACCCCGGUAGUCCCUGUCUCUUAUAC